Myotis brandtii (Brandt's bat) is the source of this 87-nucleotide non-coding RNA. Lineage: Eukaryota; Metazoa; Chordata; Mammalia; Chiroptera; Vespertilionidae. The record is from Rfam.
AGAGGCCCUCCUCGGUCGGGGUGGAACGCUUGCCUCGUCGCCAUGGCGAUGAAGCAAGCAUUCCACCAGGCCGCUCACACUGCCCGC